GUAACCUCGAUGGACAGCUACAAAUGGACGAAUUUCUGGUAGGACAAUAAUUUAUUCCAGGAGUUUAUUCAUACAGGCCUAGGGCGGAGUACGGGCGUGAUACGGAUGCAGUCUAGGGCAUAAGCCUUUGGGUGAAGUUUGAGUAUAAAACAGAUUUUAAUAUACAUAGUUAUUGUGGCUAUAUUUCGCAACGUUUUAGUGUGUAUACAGUAC
Paramuricea clavata is the source of this 213-nucleotide non-coding RNA. The record is from the annotation of a GenBank genome assembly. Lineage: Eukaryota; Metazoa; Cnidaria; Anthozoa; Malacalcyonacea; Plexauridae.